This is a long non-coding RNA of Dreissena polymorpha, 1033 nucleotides long. RefSeq lists it as uncharacterized. The transcript is spliced from 3 exons. The record is from RefSeq and is a predicted model, not a curated record. NCBI's taxonomy places the organism in Eukaryota, Metazoa, Mollusca, Bivalvia, Myida, Dreissenidae.
CCUGUUAGAUUGAAAUUCUGGAGAAGGCGUAUUGAAGAAAAAAUGCAGGUUAAACUUGUUGUUAAAAUGAAGUUAAUGUAAUUUCACAAACAGUAGAGUUAAUGAGUUUUUCCAUUAACAAGAAUUUCUUAAAAUAAUAAUGUAUGGAUAUCAUUUGGAAAGUGACAUGAAAUGUUGUUAAAAAGUGAUGCAUACAAGUGUUUCAGAAGUCUGUCUAGGAAUAGAACAACAACUGAAGCUGACCAGUUGAUGGAAGAUACUGCAGAGUUUGGCAGGGAAAUAACCCAAGACAGCAAAGCGGCUCUUUUGGCGCAUUUACCAAGAGGACUAACAUGGCCACAAAUUCAUGAGAUCAUGCAGGAGCCCUACAGUAUAACAGCAGUACAAGUUCUAUAAAAGAUCCACGACCUACUGAAGCCCAGCUAAUUAACAAAAAAGUUUUUAAAAACUGUAAUUUUAUCCCACCUGGGUACUUAUAAUUUACUAAGCUGCCUACACAAGUUUUAGAUUUGCAAUUAUAUUUUAAAUUGUCACUUGGAAAGUAAUACAUGUACAUCUAUUAUGUUCUGAAUUUCUUUGAACAAUAAAAUUAUAUAAAAGUAUUUUAAUGAAAUUAAGCACCUAAAUUGCAUUAAAGUGAAAGUAGCUGAGAACAAGAUGUGUUUGUGAAACACAAUGUCCCCCUAUAUGACGUUUGACCUUGAAGGAUGACCUUGACCUUGACCCUUCACCACUCAAAAUGUGCAGCUCCAUGAGAUACACAUGCAUGUCAAAUAUAAAAUUGCUAGCUUCAAUAUUGCAGAAGUUGCAUUACAUGAGCAAUUUUGACCCAUAUAUUUGACUUGGAAGGAUGACCUUGACCUUGACCUUUCACCACUCAAAAUGUGCAGCUCCAUAAGUUACACAUGCAUGCCAAAUAUCAAGUUGCUAUCUUCAAUAUUGCAAAAGUUUUCAUAAAAUAAGCGAUUUGGGCCACAUAUAUUUGACCUCUGACCUUGAAGGAUGACCUUGACCUUUCACCACUCAAAAUGUG